This is a long non-coding RNA of Oncorhynchus tshawytscha (Chinook salmon), 2234 nucleotides long. The record is from Ensembl. NCBI's taxonomy places the organism in Eukaryota, Metazoa, Chordata, Actinopteri, Salmoniformes, Salmonidae.
AUGAAUCCAGGUGAAAACACACUCAUCAUGAAUCUAUAUAUAGUGACAUCACGUCCUACUGCAUCGAGAUCAGGACUCCUCCUCAAACAGACUCAUCAGGAAUCUAUAUAUAGUGACAUUUUGAAACAAACAAGGUGAGAAAGGAGAACUAAACAGACACCGGGUUGACAAAACUUUAAGAACACCUGUUCUCUUUCCACGACAGACUGACCAGGUGAAAGCGGUGAUCCAUUAUUGAUGUCACUUGUUAAAUCCACUUCAAAAUCAGUGUAGAUGAAGGGGAGGAGACAUGUAGAUGAAGGGGAGGAGACAUGUAGAUGAAGGGGAGGAGACGGGUUAAAGAAGGAUUUAGAAGCUUUUCGACAGUUGAGACAUGGAUUGUGUGUGGCUGUAAGAGCCUUCGAACGGGGUGUGGUAGUAGGUGACAGGCGCACUGGUUUGUGUCAAGAACUGCAAUGCUGCUGGGGUUCUCACACUCAACAGUUUCCCGCGUGUAUCAAGAAUGGUCCACCACCCAAAGGACAUCCAGCCACCUUGACACAACUGUGGGAAGCAUUGGAGUCAACAGGGACCAGCAUGCCUGUGGAUCGCUUUCGACACCUUGUAGAGUCAACAUGGACCAGCAUCCCUGUGGAACGCUUGACACCUUGUAGAGUCCAUGUCCCGACGAAUUGAGUCUGUUCUGAGGGCAACUCAAUAUUAGGGAAGGUGUUCUUAAUGUUUUGUUCACUCAGUGUAAAUUCUCUUCUCAACAUUACACUGUACACUCCAGGUCGACUGUUAAGCUCUUAGUAUUCCUUAUCUACCUGUUAAAUAACCAUAUUGAAGUAAUCAUUAAUUCAUUAAUGACUUCCCCCAUCAGCGGGGUUCAGUCUAGUCCAGAAGAACAGGUUGUUAGAUUGUUAGAUUGAGUUCCACAUCAGCAGGGUCCAGUCUCGUCCAGAAGAACAGGUUGAGUUCCACAUCAGCAGGGUCCAGUCUAGUCCAGAAGAACAGGUUGAGUUCCACAUCAGCAGGGUUCAGUCUAGUCCAGAAGAACAGUUUGUUAGAUUGAGUUCCACAUCAGCAGGGUCCAGUCUAGUCCAGAAGAACAGGUUGUUAGAUUGUUUGGCUUGUCUUCCUCUGUCAGAGCAGCUAGUAAAAGUCAAGUAGUAUUAAUUAUGAAACAUUUUCCCACCGAGAAGCUGUUCAACACAACGUUGACUCCAUAUGGACAACCUUAAAGUGACCGUGUAGUCUGUCUCUGAACCUCAACUUCACAGUUUGUUGCUAAAGUAGUGCAUCGUUUGGCUUCACCACAGCUGUCUGUUAGAGAGUCAGUGUUCAGGUGGAAACCCAGGUGGCUCCUGGUAAUUGGGAGUCAGAGAGUUCAGGUAGAAGCCCAGGUGGCUCCAGGUAAUUGAGAGUUCAGGUGGAAGCCCAGGUGGCUCCAGGUAAUUGGGAGUCAGAGAGUUCAGGUGGAAGCCCAGGUGGCUCCAGGUAAUUGGGAGUCAGAGAGUUCAGGUGGAAGCCCAGGUGGCUCCAGGUAAUUGGGAGUCAGAGAGUUCAGGUGGAAGCCCAGGUGGCUCCAGGUAAUUGGGAGUCAGAGAGUUCAGGUGGAAGCCCAGGUGGCUCCAGGUAAUUGGGAGUCAGAGAGUUCAGGUGGAAGCCCAGGUGGCUCCAGGUUACAUGGUUGGAAGCCCAGGUGUCUCCAGGCUACAUGGUUGGAAGCCCAGGUGUCUCCAGGCUACAUGGUUGGAAGCCCAGGUGUCUCCAGGUUACAUGGUAAUUCUCUUUAACAAUGUUAUUGCCAAUAGAAGAAGAAAAGUGACCCAUCCAUAUUUCCAGGAUGGGAAGGCACUUUGGUGACAAGUCUCUCCGUCUGAAAUUCCACCCUAUCCCCUCAUCAGGGAAUUAGGUGCCAUUUGGGACACACCCUGACAGGAAUAUGUAUUGAGCUGGUCUGUCAUCGUUGUGGUAGAUGGGUGUGUGUGUUUUAACUUCCUGGUCAGUCAUCGUUGUGGUAGAUGAGUGUGUGUGUUUUAACUUCCUGGUCAGUCAUCGUUGUGGUAGAUGAGUGUGUGUGUUUUAACUUCCUGGUCAGUCAUCGUUGUGACAGAUGAGUGUGUGUGUUUUAACUUCCUGGUCUUUGGGUUGUGCAUCUUAUCUACAAAUCGUCUCUGAAUGUAAAAACGGAGGUUUUAUCCAAGAAGGUUGUGUUUCCCAGGCCACUGAAAGACACAAACAUAACAAAU